UCUCCUCACGGGUUUAAACCCAAUU
Molecule: microRNA, 25 nt
Filed under: Echinococcus granulosus
Lineage: Eukaryota; Metazoa; Platyhelminthes; Cestoda; Cyclophyllidea; Taeniidae
Description: egr-miR-4990
Source: miRBase by way of RNAcentral